ACCGCGAGGUUAAGCUAAUCUCUUAAAGUCGUUCUCAGUUCGGAUUGCAGGCUGCAACUCGCCUGCAUGAAGUCGGAAUCGCUAGUAAUCGCGGAUCAGCAUGCCGCGGUGAAUACGUUCCCGGGCCUUGUACACACCGCCCGUCACACCAUGAGAGUUUGUAACACCCAAAGCCGGUGGAGUAACCAUUUGGAGCUAGCCGUCUAAGGUGGGACAGAUGAUUGGGGUGAAGUCGUAACAAGGUAGCCGUAGGAGAACCUGCGGCUGGAUCACCUCCUUUCUAAGGAA
Molecule: ribosomal RNA, 288 nt
Filed under: Ligilactobacillus aviarius
Lineage: Bacteria; Bacillati; Bacillota; Bacilli; Lactobacillales; Lactobacillaceae
Description: partial 16S ribosomal RNA
Rfam family: Bacterial small subunit ribosomal RNA
Source: RNAcentral